Molecule: ribosomal RNA, 983 nt
Filed under: Paraburkholderia sediminicola
Lineage: Bacteria; Pseudomonadati; Pseudomonadota; Betaproteobacteria; Burkholderiales; Burkholderiaceae
Description: bacterial SSU rRNA
Rfam family: Bacterial small subunit ribosomal RNA
Source: RNAcentral
CCCUGGUGGCGAGUGGCGAACGGGUGAGUAAUACAUCGGAACGUGUCCUGUAGUGGGGGAUAGCCCGGCGAAAGCCGGAUUAAUACCGCAUACGCUCUACGGAGGAAAGGGGGGGAUCUUAGGACCUCCCGCUACAGGGGCGGCCGAUGGCAGAUUAGCUAGUUGGUGGGGUAAAGGCCUACCAAGGCGACGAUCUGUAGCUGGUCUGAGAGGACGACCAGCCACACUGGGACUGAGACACGGCCCAGACUCCUACGGGAGGCAGCAGUGGGGAAUUUUGGACAAUGGGCGAAAGCCUGAUCCAGCAAUGCCGCGUGUGUGAAGAAGGCCUUCGGGUUGUAAAGCACUUUUGUCCGGAAAGAAAACCUCCGCCCUAAUAUGGUGGGGGGAUGACGGUACCGGAAGAAUAAGCACCGGCUAACUACGUGCCAGCAGCCGCGGUAAUACGUAGGGUGCAAGCGUUAAUCGGAAUUACUGGGCGUAAAGCGUGCGCAGGCGGUCCGCUAAGACAGAUGUGAAAUCCCCGGGCUUAACCUGGGAACUGCAUUUGUGACUGGCGGGCUAGAGUAUGGCAGAGGGGGGUAGAAUUCCACGUGUAGCAGUGAAAUGCGUAGAGAUGUGGAGGAAUACCGAUGGCGAAGGCAGCCCCCUGGGCCAAUACUGACGCUCAUGCACGAAAGCGUGGGGAGCAAACAGGAUUAGAUACCCUGGUAGUCCACGCCCUAAACGAUGUCAACUAGUUGUUGGGGAUUCAUUUCCUUAGUAACGUAGCUAACGCGUGAAGUUGACCGCCUGGGGAGUACGGUCGCAAGAUUAAAACUCAAAGGAAUUGACGGGGACCCGCACAAGCGGUGGAUGAUGUGGAUUAAUUCGAUGCAACGCGAAAAACCUUACCUACCCUUGACAUGUAUGGAAUCCUGCUGAGAGGUGGGAGUGCCCGAAAGGGAGCCAUAACACAGGUGCUGCAUGGCUGUCGUCAGCUC